ACCCUCGGCCCCCCACGGCGGUUGGUCCGGGCGGGGGAAGGAGAAAGUGAGACUCGGUGUCAUCACCAAUCCAUCGCCAGAAGGGGAGGAAACUGGAAUCCAGCAGCGGCGAGCAGCAGCUGGACGGUAACAUCUGGAAAUGGAAAGCCGACCUCCCCCUCCUCCUCCACCUCCUCCUCCUCCUCCUCCUCCUCCUCCUCCUCCUCUCACCCAGGAUCACUUCCAAAACCACUUGGCCUUCAGCCCCUGCCUCGGCCAGAGGUUUCAUUUUUAACUGAAUAUUUACGAAAGCUGAAAGCGUGCGAGGGGGGUGGGGUGGAAAUAGCGGCUGCUUCUUUUCCAAGGAUUUAUUUAAUGGGGAUGUGUUCAAGGCAAGACCGAAUUCAGAAGGAUAUCGACGUCGUGAUCCAGAAGUCCAGAGCUGAGGACUGCCUGUUUGCAGGACAACUGUGCAGACUACAAAGCUUCGGAAAACCGGAGAGGCUGAGUCGACUAAUCGUGUUGUUGCACGUUAGAAACGCUUGCAUUGCCUGACUCUGAAACCAGAAGGGCGGCCGAAUGGCCUUCACCCUCCAUUAACCCUCGCCUCCUUCAGAAGCCAGUGCCUCUGGAAAUGCCUGGAUCUGCGACCCCAGCCUGAGCCUAGUAGGGCCCAAGGGAAGCUGAACGCCCCGACGGCUCUCAUGGUAGGGCACUGGCAACAGUUUUCCGUUUGUGCCUACUCCACCUGCUGUCUUUGUUGGGUCAGCGAACAUCGCCUCCCUCUACCGCUCAAUCAGCAAAAGGGACCGCCCUUGAGGACCUCACCCGCCGCUCACUCCCCUCCCAACUUCGCGGGCAUCGCCUCCGGUCGCCUCUUCCGAAGGCCUAACGAGCAUGUUAGCUGCGAACGGAGGUGAGGAGGCUCCGCUGACUGACCGGUGCCCACGUCCAGGGCACGCACAAACGCCAUGACUUGGCUUGGCCUCUCUCUUAGUUAUUCACAGCUCAGCCCGAUAGGCACCUCUGGGGCGGCGACGGCAAAGAGGGUGCGCUUAUUAAGUGCAGCUCCACGGGGACUGGCCUCUCUGCACGGCUGUGUACACCUGAGCGAGACGCUCAGUCGCUCUCUAAAGCCGCUUCU
RNAcentral lists this long non-coding RNA (1123 nucleotides) under Homo sapiens (human). RNAcentral describes it as "long non-coding RNA NONHSAT006214.2". Lineage: Eukaryota; Metazoa; Chordata; Mammalia; Primates; Hominidae. The record is from RNAcentral.